CAAGGCCUCAAGCAGGGGGCCUCAAGGCCUAGUCCAUCCCAUCACAGGGCUGAGACAACGAGACACUGGAUCCGCUUCCAUAAUUUGUCCUUCACAAUGAGAAUAGUUUGCAAUAACUAAAAGGAACCAGACAUACUUGGAUCAGUUCCCAAAGCUAGAGCUGUUCUGAGAAAUAUUUGCACCAAGUUUUAAGCCUCCUCAGACUCAGCCUUGGGUUGGCAGUUGCUAUGGCCAUGAACCACGACACUUGUUUCUGGAAAGGAUGGAAAUUCUCUGCACAGCCUGAAAGCUGGUCAACCUCCUUUUCCAGGCCAACCCUCACUUGCGUCCAGCCCUAGCAGACAUCUCAAAUCCACCAGCAAGAGCCAGGCUGCCCUUAAAAAUAACAACUAGGAGAGAAGAACAAAGAGGUGCUAAAGAAAAUAAGACAGGGUGAGCAAAGAGCAUCCUGCUGCUGUGUGCAGAGGGAACCCCCUGAGUGCGCGGUGAGGAGAGACAAAGAGCUCCGACGCAUGGUACAAAUAAUAAAAUCACUUUGAUGCCAGGAGCCAGUAUCGUGGAUGAUGCAUUUGCAGAAAGAAAAGCCCCGACACUCACCUCAGGGAGAGAGGUAACUAAGAAACCCAUAAUCACUGUCAUCAUUUCUUUAAUGCUAAGCUCCGAUAGAGGAAAUGGCAGGCACUGCAUAAUUCAGAAAAAGCCUUCCCUGCAGGAAGUGAUUGCCCCGCCUCCACAAACUUAUCACCAGGCCACAACCAGUAGGGUUGCUAAGGAACUGGUUGAAACCGACCCAGAUCAACAAGGGGUCCGGAGGGAAAACGGAAGCCCCCAGCAACUCCACAAAUUGACACUCAGCUGUGAGCAGCUCGGGCAGGUGGGGUUG
Molecule: long non-coding RNA, 883 nt
Organism: Mauremys reevesii (Reeves's turtle)
Lineage: Eukaryota; Metazoa; Chordata; Testudines; Geoemydidae
Exons: 4
Source: RefSeq, a predicted model, not a curated record